GACAUGUUGCAGCAUCUCUCUCUUUCUCUUUCCCUCUCCAGAUCUCCCCCGUUCUCUUUCUCUCUUUCUCCCUCGCUAGCGACCGGACCGUUUUUACUUCUUGCUCAAAAUCGACGAUACGUGCUGAGGGGACUUCAUCCAAAUUGCUCUCAUGCUCUGUUAUAUAUCCGCUUGAAAAAAACGUAUGAAAAAAAUGGAUAAAUCAAGCCCAUCAUCAAAGUGUCUCUCAAUUACGAAUUUUAUCAACAAAAUUCCCACUUUUUAAGUCCAAACUCGAUCAAUCAACGUCCGAAUGAAAACAUCGUUAAAUCUCCAAAAAAUUUCGUCAGUAAUUAGCCGUUGUACCCUGACGCAACAUUUUUACUUCAUCUAGUUUCGAUGCAUGGCCUAAUUAUAGAUCGUUAUCAAUUCUAUAAAAAAUUCUCAAGUCUUGCAAGUUUUUUUUCAAAUUCUCCAUUAAUAACAUGAGCUACCAAUGACAUUUUUUGACCUUUUUGUGCUGCACAUUUCAAGUGGACUGACCUUCGGUUUUCCAUUCUAUUUUGUGGAACCAAGCAAUUACGGAUGGGGGCAAAUUUCGAUCACAUUAAUAACAUUUAUGAUAUUGAAGCAUUAUUAUGUGUCUUUAUAACUUUUGAUUGAUUCAUGUAUUAAUGCUAUUGUUGUGUCACAGCAUGCAGUAGUGUAAUACAAGAAAACCAUGACUUAUCCGCAAUGAAACGGAGGCAAUAUUAAUUAUUAUUUAUUAUUUUAUCAGUUGAUGGGUGCAAGAGCAGCUGGCGGCUCAUUAGUCGAAGGCGAGAGUGAGACGAAUAAAGUCGCCGCGCAUUCGUGUGUUAGGACGAGAGCACGCACUUUGCACGCUUUGGAAAAUUGGCAAAUGAUCUGGAAAAAUACUGACCCUUCGGACGAUCACAACUUUUGCAUCGGACCGUUGGUGGGAAAGCUGUUCGAGAGACCGGAUGACGAAUCGUCGGUCGAAAUGAAUUUGUUUUCAUACUGGGACGAAAAUCUGAAUGUGGAAAAAUGAUGCAACGAAACGAUGAAACGAAAAAUGUGCCAGUUGACGUUUUGCACUGAUUUUUUGAGGAGGAAAAAAAUGAGUUUUCCCUCGUUCGCAGACUUUGGAGUUUAAAUAAGAGUCGUUCGUUGUAGCGAAGGAGCGACAAUUUUCGAGUUAUACUGAGAGUGCGGGAUAGCUCGUAGGUGGAAAAACUCGAUCUCACUCAGUUUUCGUGCAACAUCGCCGCGUCGCUUUUUCGACUCAACGAUUAUAUUUUUCUUUGCCACUUUGGGGUUAGCUCUUUUCUGUCCUCGCCCUCCUCUCUUCUUCCUUCUCAUUUUGUCGCUGUAUUUGCUCCAAGCAAAUUCCUCGAGAGAACACCUCCGCGGGGCAAUCCGACGAUAAAUUGUCGAGAGUGGGCGAAUCUUCGCCCCGAGAGCAAAACUCCACAGCAAUCACGACCAACUCGCGUGCGAACAAGCCUCUGUGUGUGUGUGUGUUUCACCAUAAACGCAAAAAUAUCUGUAUACGUACGAAUCCUUAAAAAAAUGACGUAAAACCUCAAAUUAUUCGCUCACGAGAACCGACGUCAACGAAUGUAUACAUGCAAACACAAGAUUUCACACUCCACCGCUGAAUUAUCUCGACACUCUUUUCUGCUUCCACGUCGCCUGACUAUCGUUCUCUCGCUGAAGCUAUGAAAGAAAAACUUCGAGACUGGAAUCGUGUCGGUGGAACAGGACAGGAAAAUCCGGGGCUUUCGUCGUGCCCGCGAAGCCCUUAUCAUGUCGGAUAUGCACAGCCGAACGAGCCUCGUGCGACUAGACGGUUUCACCAGCUAACUCUCCGUCUCUCUCUCUCUCUCUCUCUCUCUCUCUGUCUCUUCCAUUCCGUUUGAAUUUCAUGUUCGUACAUUUUUCCAUCUCGUCCACUUCUGACCCAUAUAUACCAUGAAAUAAAUCCCAACGAGCGGUCUAUAUCUGCUUUGUCUCCCUCCCUUUGGCUCUUUCCUCUAUCGCCUUUUACCGGCUUGAUCCACCCAACGCUGGAUUUAUACAUUCGUGUAUCUCUUCCUCCCACCACGUGUGCUUUCCUCGCAUCCGAAAAUCUGAUGAAAAUUUCCAAAAAUUCUUUCUAUUCUCGAAUUAUUCAUUCGGUUAUCCGCGGCUUUACCUGCGAAAGCAUUCUUUUUCUAUUGGAGUGAGCUCAGUACUCAUUUAUCUUUAACUCUACGCCGAGUUAACAUUGAAAAUUAACUAUGUAUGGUACAAAAGUCUAAAUAAUUAGAAAUUGAUCAAAUUUGGUGAUGAUGUUCUUCAACAUCAAGUGCGAAAAAACAAUUUUUUUCAAAAUUUUCUUCUGCUUAGUUAUCGAGUAAUUACGUGGGUGAUUCCAUACCAAACGGACCAAUCCGUGACCCCGACCAUUUUUGAUUUUGCUGAAAAUUUUCUAUUAUUUUGUAACCACUGAAAGAAGUCGUUCCUAAUUUUUUUAGAUUUUUUUCCCAACUCAUCUGAUGACAAUAAAUUUUUCAAAAUUUCGUACAAUUUUUUUGUGAACGCCCAUAACUUCUUCAAUAACAGAGAUAUCGA
Venturia canescens is the source of this 2595-nucleotide long non-coding RNA. RefSeq lists it as uncharacterized. The transcript has 4 exons. The record is from RefSeq and is a predicted model, not a curated record. Lineage: Eukaryota; Metazoa; Arthropoda; Insecta; Hymenoptera; Ichneumonidae.